UACGUAGGGGGCAAGCGUUGUCCGGAAUUAUUGGGCGUAAAGAGCGCGUAGGCGGUCCGAUAAGUCGGCUGUGAAAGUCCAGGGCUCAACCCUGGAAAGCCGGCCGAUACUGUCGGACUAGAGUCCGGAAGAGGCAAGUGGAAUUCCCGGUGUAGCGGUGAAAUGCGCAGAUAUCGGGAGGAACACCAAUGGCGAAGGCAGCUUGCUGGGACGGUACUGACGCUGAGGCGCGAAAGCUAGGGUAGCAAACGGG
RNAcentral lists this ribosomal RNA (253 nucleotides) under uncultured bacterium. RNAcentral's name for it is "partial 16S ribosomal RNA". It matches the Rfam family "Bacterial small subunit ribosomal RNA", at positions 524 to 776 of the family's 1533-position model. The record is from RNAcentral.